This 748-nucleotide ribosomal RNA is filed under the name Salmonella enterica subsp. enterica serovar Virchow. RNAcentral describes it as "partial 23S ribosomal RNA". It matches the Rfam family "Bacterial large subunit ribosomal RNA", at positions 2164 to 2906 of the family's 2925-position model. RNAcentral also lists the same sequence under 1 other name. The record is from RNAcentral. Lineage: Bacteria; Pseudomonadati; Pseudomonadota; Gammaproteobacteria; Enterobacterales; Enterobacteriaceae.
GUGGACGCCAGUCUGCAUGGAGCCGACCUUGAAAUACCACCCUUUAAUGUUUGAUGUUCUAACGUGGACCCGUAAUCCGGGUUGCGGACAGUGUCUGGUGGGUAGUUUGACUGGGGCGGUCUCCUCCUAAAGAGUAACGGAGGAGCACGAAGGUUGGCUAAUCCUGGUCGGACAUCAGGAGGUUAGUGCAAUGGCAUAAGCCAGCUUGACUGCGAGCGUGACGGCGCGAGCAGGUGCGAAAGCAGGUCAUAGUGAUCCGGUGGUUCUGAAUGGAAGGGCCAUCGCUCAACGGAUAAAAGGUACUCCGGGGAUAACAGGCUGAUACCGCCCAAGAGUUCAUAUCGACGGCGGUGUUUGGCACCUCGAUGUCGGCUCAUCACAUCCUGGGGCUGAAGUAGGUCCCAAGGGUAUGGCUGUUCGCCAUUUAAAGUGGUACGCGAGCUGGGUUUAGAACGUCGUGAGACAGUUCGGUCCCUAUCUGCCGUGGGCGCUGGAGAACUGAGGGGGGCUGCUCCUAGUACGAGAGGACCGGAGUGGACGCAUCACUGGUGUUCGGGUUGUCAUGCCAAUGGCACUGCCCGGUAGCUAAAUGCGGAAGAGAUAAGUGCUGAAAGCAUCUAAGCACGAAACUUGCCCCGAGAUGAGUUCUCCCUGAGACUUAGAGUCUCCUGAAGGAACGUUGAAGACGACGACGUUGAUAGGCCGGGUGUGUAAGCGCAGCGAUGCGUUGAGCUAACCGGUACUAAUG